Molecule: long non-coding RNA, 764 nt
Filed under: Anas platyrhynchos platyrhynchos (common mallard)
Lineage: Eukaryota; Metazoa; Chordata; Aves; Anseriformes; Anatidae
Description: lncRNA (ENSAPLG00000018207.1)
Source: RNAcentral
GGCCAUUCGAUCUCUGCUCUAACAGUUUCAUUUCAGCAUAAAGCCUCCUCUUCAAAUCCUGAGUUUAUUAAUAUUAAUCUUUGUGUAAGAGACUUUGAAAUUGAAUAACACAUGAAACUACACUUUUUUUAAAAACUUUUUUUUUUUUAAAUCUGUGUUCAAGUAAUAACUGGAAACCCUUACAGGCCAAAAUGAUUUUGGUGUGGGUUUAGGGAUUUGUUUGUUUGUUUUCCUACAUAAGACUGCAUUUGAAGCUGUCUUUAGAAUCAACAGCCUGCAGUCACCCGGUACUUUCCAGAGAUUUCACAGAAGAUGAAGAGGGACUAAUUUCUUUCUGUGCUUUCAUGAUCAACUUACUGUGUAGAGGUAUGAAAAGUUAGUGCAGAAAGAUUCUUCAGUCAUCCUCCAGUUAAGAAGCUUAUGAUAAGAAAGUUGGUAUUUUCACCACUGGGAAAAGAUUGCUCAUCUAGGAGAGGAAACUUUCCCGUCAGCAAAGAAAACAUGAGGCCCAGGCUUGAAGUCUGCCAGAAGGCGGCUGAAGUCACAACUGCCACAUACCAGGAGCAGGGAGCAUCCUCCUGCAGGAUCACAGCUUGUGUCAAACGGACUAAAACGCAAACCCUGGUCAUCAGCCUUCCCCCUGAGCAAGCAGGAACAGAAGAGCUUCCAGAACACAAAAGCAGUGUUUCAGUUUGAGACACUGUGUAAGAACUUGAACAUCUUUUUUUCUUUCAAAUGAAUAAAUCCUAAUUAAAUUGAAAGCA